GGGUGCCCGUCGUUACUCAGUGGCGUGUGGUGGCAAGUUGGCUUGUGUAGCCACUUCUCCGACGAGUGUGUUUUAAUUAAGUCAGCUUGAGUGGUCCAUAUUCACUGGCAAGGCUGUUGUAGCGAGCUCUGACGCUGGGUGCUUGGUGGGAAUCAGCUGGAGCCGUAGCCAAGCCUCUCAUAAGCUCAAUUCAUGACCUGCGGUCCCAGAGAGGGGAUUCAUCGCCACUUGUCGUGUGGGAAGUGGAUUACAGCCAAGUGCCUCCACGCCUUGGAAAGGCUGCUGUUCUGUUGUGCUGUGGAUUUGUGGAUGACGUUUUCAUACGGGCGGCUUCACUGUCAGGAUCAACCUCUGGGCCCUGGUG
Alosa sapidissima (American shad) is the source of this 364-nucleotide long non-coding RNA. RefSeq lists it as uncharacterized. Lineage: Eukaryota; Metazoa; Chordata; Actinopteri; Clupeiformes; Clupeidae. The record is from RefSeq and is a predicted model, not a curated record. The transcript is spliced from 5 exons.